RNAcentral lists this unclassified non-coding RNA (324 nucleotides) under Hevea brasiliensis (rubber tree). Lineage: Eukaryota; Viridiplantae; Streptophyta; Magnoliopsida; Malpighiales; Euphorbiaceae. The record is from RNAcentral.
UAAACGGUUAUGCAGCAGAGCUCUGUCCUCCGAAGAUUCAAAACCAAAUAGGUGCGAAGAUCAAUGAGAUAGUUAGGAAAGGGUGGCCAGUUUUGAUAGGUGUUUAGAGUAGAAUUUAUAGGCUUAAAUGCACCCCUUACAUGUUAAUGUUUAUAUCAAGUUGUUGAGGAUUGCAAGUUAUGGCUCGUAGAAGCGGACAGAUUUUGGGUACCGUUCAACAAGUACAUGAUUCUUUUGUCGUUGGAAUAGUCUUGAGCAUAUCCUUGUCGUUUAGAAAGAAUUUAUAUAUUAUUUGUUAGUAGUACUGAUUUUAUUAAAAAAAAA